UACGGAGGAUCCAAGCGUUAUCCGGAAUCAUUGGGCUUAAAGAGUCCGUAGGCGGGUUAAUAAGUCAGUGGUGAAAGUCUGCAGCUCAACCGUAGAACUGCAAUUGAUACUGCUAACCUUGAGUAAUUAUGAAGUGGUUAGAAUAUGUAGUGUAGCGGUGAAAUGCAUAGAUAUUACGAAGAAUACCGAUUGCGAAGGCAGAUCACUAAUAAUUCACUGACGCUGAUGGACGAAAGCGUAGGUAGCGAACAGG
RNAcentral lists this unclassified non-coding RNA (253 nucleotides) under uncultured Flavobacteriaceae bacterium. RNAcentral describes it as "contains 16S-23S intergenic spacer region". It matches the Rfam family "Bacterial small subunit ribosomal RNA", at positions 524 to 776 of the family's 1533-position model. Lineage: Bacteria; Pseudomonadati; Bacteroidota; Flavobacteriia; Flavobacteriales; Flavobacteriaceae. The record is from RNAcentral.